UCCCUGGUGGCUCAGAUGGUAAAGCAUCUGCCUAUAAUGUGGGAGACCCAGGUUUGAUCCCUGGGUUGGGAA
RNAcentral lists this transfer RNA (72 nucleotides) under Bos taurus (domestic cattle). It matches the Rfam family "tRNA". From Rfam's summary of the family: Transfer RNA (tRNA) molecules are approximately 80 nucleotides in length. Their secondary structure includes four short double-helical elements and three loops (D, anti-codon, and T loops). Further hydrogen bonds mediate the characteristic L-shaped molecular structure. tRNAs have two regions of fundamental functional importance: the anti-codon, which is responsible for specific mRNA codon recognition, and the 3' end, to which the tRNAs corresponding amino acid is attached (by aminoacyl-tRNA synthetases). tRNAs cope with the degeneracy of the genetic code in two manners: having more than one tRNA (with a specific anti-codon) for a particular amino acid; and 'wobble' base-pairing, i.e. permitting non-standard base-pairing at the 3rd anti-codon position. The record is from Rfam by way of RNAcentral. Lineage: Eukaryota; Metazoa; Chordata; Mammalia; Artiodactyla; Bovidae. RNAcentral also lists the same sequence under 1 other name.